AAUAAGUUCUAUAUAUACCGUUCGUCUUAUUUGAAGUUUUUUUUAUUAGUCAUAUUUUUAUUGUUAUUAAUUAGGUGAUAAAUCAUAAAUAGUGCUCCAUGCGUGACUUAUUUUUUAAAAAAUCAUAAAUUUUUCAUAUAAGACGGACGGUCAAAUAUCGGACACAGAAACCCACAAAUAAACUUAUU
Molecule: microRNA precursor, 188 nt
Filed under: Oryza glumipatula
Lineage: Eukaryota; Viridiplantae; Streptophyta; Magnoliopsida; Poales; Poaceae
Description: MIR812 microRNA precursor family
Rfam family: MIR812 microRNA precursor family
Source: Rfam by way of RNAcentral